UGGGGAAUAUUGCACAAUGGGCGCAAGCCUGAUGCAGCAACGCCGCGUGAACGAUGAAGGUCUUCGGAUCGUAAAGUUCUGUUGCAGGGGAAGAUAAUGACGGUACCCUGUGAGGAAGCCCCGGCUAACUACGUGCCAGCAGCCGCGGUAAUACGUAGGGGGCUAGCGUUAUCCGGAUUUACUGGGCGUAAAGGGUGCGUAGGUGGUCUUUCAAGUCGGUGGUUAAAGGCUACGGCUCAACCGUAGCUAGCCUCCGAAACUGGAAGACUUGAGUGCAGGAGAGGAAAGUGGAAUUCCCAGUGUAGCGGUGAAAUGCGUAGAUAUUGGGAGGAACACCAGUAGCGAAGGCGGCUUUCUGGACUGCAACUGACACUGAGGCACGAAAGCGUGGGUAGCAAACAGG
This 403-nucleotide ribosomal RNA is filed under the name Verrucomicrobiota bacterium. Its description in RNAcentral is "Verrucomicrobia bacterium partial 16S ribosomal RNA". It matches the Rfam family "Bacterial small subunit ribosomal RNA", at positions 355 to 776 of the family's 1533-position model. Lineage: Bacteria; Pseudomonadati; Verrucomicrobiota. The record is from RNAcentral.